Molecule: ribosomal RNA, 253 nt
Filed under: uncultured bacterium
Lineage: Bacteria
Description: partial 16S ribosomal RNA
Rfam family: Bacterial small subunit ribosomal RNA
Source: RNAcentral
UACGUAGGAUGCAAGCGUUGUCCAGGUUUAUUGGGUUUAAAGGGUGCGUAGGCGGCCUAUUAAGUUAGUGGUGAAACCGUUCGGCUUAACCGGAUACCCGCCAUUGAUACUGAUAGACUUGAGUGCGACAGAGGGUGUUGGAAUGUGUGGUGUAGCGGUGAAAUGCUUAGAUACCACGCAGAACACCAAUUGCGAAGGCAGAUGCCUAUGUCGUAACUGACGCUGAGGCACGAAAGCGUGGGGAGCAAACAGG